This 382-nucleotide ribosomal RNA is filed under the name Starmerella bacillaris. RNAcentral describes it as "partial large subunit ribosomal RNA". It matches the Rfam family "Eukaryotic large subunit ribosomal RNA", at positions 80 to 474 of the family's 3401-position model. The record is from RNAcentral. Lineage: Eukaryota; Fungi; Ascomycota; Dipodascomycetes; Dipodascales; Trichomonascaceae.
CUAGUAACGGCGAGUGAACAGGCAAGAAGCUCAGAUUUGAAAGGCACUUUUGUGCCGUUGUAUUCUGAAGUUAGGGUCCUGAGAAACGAUGCUUAAGUCUUCUGGAAAGGAGCGCCAUGGAGGGUGAUAGCCCCGUCUAGCAUUGACCUCAUAUAGGAUCUUAACAUGGAGUCGAGUUGUUUGGGAAUGCAGCUCAAAUGGGUGGUAUGCUCCAUCUAAAGCUAAAUAUCUGCGAGAGACCGAUAGUAAACAAGUACUGUGAGGGAAAGAUGAAAAGAACUUUGAAAAGAGAGUGAAAAGAGUACGUGAAAUUGGUUGAAAUGGAAGGGUAGGCCGCUAACCCAUGUAAGAGACCGUGUUUGGGGGGAAGAUAGAAUGCUGG